This 916-nucleotide ribosomal RNA is filed under the name uncultured bacterium. RNAcentral describes it as "bacterial SSU rRNA". It matches the Rfam family "Bacterial small subunit ribosomal RNA", at positions 246 to 1155 of the family's 1533-position model. The record is from RNAcentral.
UUGUUGGUAAGGUAAAAGCUUACCAAGGCUUCGAUCAGUAGCUGGUCUGAGAGGACGACCAGCCACACUGGGACUGAGACACGCCCCAGACUCCUACGGGAGGCAGCAGUGGGGAAUUUUGGACAAUGGGGGCAACCCUGAUCCAGCCAUGCCGCGUGAGUGAAGAAGGCCUUCGGGUUGUAAAGCUCUUUCAGCCGGAACGAAACGGUUACGGAUAACACCCGUGACUACUGACGGUACCGGAAGAAGAAGCACCGGCUAACUACGUGCCAGCAGCCGCGGUAAUACGUAGGGUGCGAGCGUUAAUCGGAAUUACUGGGCGUAAAGCGUGCGCAGGUGGUUUUGUAAGUCAGAUGUGAAAGCCCCGGGCUCAACCUGGGAACUGCGUUUGAAACUACAAGACUAGAGUGUGGCAGAGGGGGGUGGAAUUCCGCGUGUAGCAGUGAAAUGCGUAGAGAUGUGGAGGAACACCGAUGGCGAAGGCAGCCCCCUGGGUCAACACUGACGCUCAGGCACGAAAGCAUGGGGAGCAAACAGGAUUAGAUACCCUGGUAGUCCAUGCCCUAAACGAUGUCAACUAGUUGUCGGGCCUUUACGGGCUUGGUAACGUAGCUAACGCGUGAAGUUGACCGCCUGGGGAGUACGAUCGCAAGAUUAAAACUCAAAUGAAUUGACGGGGACCCGCACAAGCGGUGGAUUAUGUGGAUUAAUUCGAUGCAACGCGAAAAACCUUACCUACCCUUGACACGUAUCGAAGCCCGCAGAAAAGCGGGGGUGCCCGAAAGGGAACGAUAACACAGGUGCUGCAUGGCUGUCGUCAGCUCGUGUCGUGAGAUGUUGGGUUAAGUCCCGCAACGAGCGCAACCCUUGUCAUUAAUUGCCAUCAUUUAGUUGGGCACUUUAAUGAGACUGCCGG